UGGUCAAGUUAUUAAGGGUGCAGGGCGGAUGCCUUGGCACUAGGAGCCGAUGAAGGACGUGAUAAGCUGCGAUAAGCUUCGGGGAGUUGCACGUAAACUUUGAUCCGAAGAUUUCCGAAUGAGGAAACUCACUUAGAGUAAUGUCUAAGUAUCAUUAAGUGAAUACAUAGCUUAAUGAGGGGAACUCAGGGAACUGAAACAUCUAAGUACCUGAAGGAAGAGAAAGAAAUUCGAUUCCGUAAGUAGCGGCGAGCGAACGCGGAUUAGCCCAAACCAAUAAAGUUUUCUUUAUUGGGGUUGCGGACAUAUCAUAACGAAGAGGUAUCGUAAUUGAAGAGGUUUGGAAAGACCCACCACAGAAGGUAAUAGUCCUGUAUGUUAAACGAGAAGACUUUAGAUAUGAUCCAGAGUACCACGGGACACGUGAAACCCUGUGGGAAGCAGGAGGGACCACCCUCCAAGGCUAAAUACUACCUAGUGACCGAUAGCGUAUAGUACCGUGAGGGAAAGGUGAAAAGAACCCCGGGAGGGGAGGGAAAUAGAACCUGAAACCCUGCACUUACAAGCUGUGGAAGCACAUUUCUUGUGUGACCGCGUACUUUUUGUAGAACGGGCCAACGGGUUACGUUAAGUAGCAAGGUUAAGCACUUAAGGGG
This 656-nucleotide ribosomal RNA is filed under the name Clostridioides difficile. Its description in RNAcentral is "bacterial LSU rRNA". It matches the Rfam family "Bacterial large subunit ribosomal RNA", at positions 1 to 660 of the family's 2925-position model. Lineage: Bacteria; Bacillati; Bacillota; Clostridia; Peptostreptococcales; Peptostreptococcaceae. The record is from RNAcentral.